RNAcentral lists this long non-coding RNA (1286 nucleotides) under Corvus moneduloides (New Caledonian crow). RNAcentral describes it as "lncRNA (ENSCMUG00000019720.1)". Lineage: Eukaryota; Metazoa; Chordata; Aves; Passeriformes; Corvidae. The record is from RNAcentral.
UUGGGCUCACCUUUGGCAGGGGAAGCACGAUGUGAGGUCUGGGGGGCUUUAAGGACCCCCCAAAACCACCCCAAAUCCACCCCAAAUCCCACAAAAACCACCUCAAAUCGAAACGUGAGGGGGGAAAAGGGCGGGAAACGUGAGGGGAGAAAAGGGCGGGAAACGUGAGGGGAAAAGGGAGGGAAACGUGAGGGGAGAAAAAGGAGGGAAAGGUGAGGGGGAAAAGGGAGGGAAAGGUGAGGGGAAAAGGGAGGGAAACGUGAGGGGAAACGUGAGGGGAGAAGGGAGGGAAAGGUGAGGGGAGAAAAGGGGGGAAGGUGAGGGGAAAAGGGAGGGAAAGGUGAGGGGGAAAAGGGAGGGAAAGGUGAGGGGAGAAAAGGGAGGGAAAAGUGAGGGGAGAAAAGGGCGGGAAAGGUGAGGGGGGAAAAGGGCGGGAAACGUGAGGGGGGAAAAGGGCGGGAAACGUGAGGGGAAAAGGGAGGGAAAGGUGAGGGAAGAAACAUGAGGGGAGAAACGUGAGGGGAGAGAACGUGAGGGGAGAAAAGGGUGGGAAAGGUGAGGGGAGAAAAGGGAGGGAAACGUGAGGGGGGAAAAGGGAGGGAAAGGUGAGGGGAGAAAUGGGCGGGAAACGUGAGGGGGGAAAAGGGAAGAAAAUAUGAGGGGAAAAAAGCCAGGAAACACAAGGAAAAAAGGGUGGGAAGCCUGAGGGUAAAAUCGGCAGAAAGCAUGAGAGGAGAAAAGGACGGGAAGGUCGGGAAAUGAGGGGGUAAAAAUGGGGGAAAUGUGCAUCCCAAUUCCUCAGGUGCCCCCUCCCCAAAACGAAGCGCGGACUCUGGAGGUUGCUCAGACACUUUUAUUUCUGGGGGGGCUCACGGGGCCUUCGCCGCCCGCACCCUCUUCUUCCUCACCACCACGGGCUUCUGGCUGCACAGGAUGGCGCUGGCCCGGCGCAGAGCGGCCUGGAGGGGACAAAAAUGGGGGCCAGCACCCCAAAAACAAGGGGUGAGCCCUGGGUGUGGAGUGGGCUCACAGCCUGAAUUAUCCCUCCGAGAUCAAGGAGUCGUUGGAGAUCUGGAACUCCAGAGAGUUCUGGCUCUGUUCUGCUGCCAUCGUGGCUCGGGACCUUCUCAGCUCCAGGAUCUUUUCCUGAGCUCCGGAAUCUCCUCAGCUCCGGGCUCUCCCUGGCUCCAGCCCCUUCUCCCCCCUCUCCGGGCUCUCUUCCCGGUGCUCUUGGCUCAGCCGGGCCCCUUUCCCUCCUCCCUGGGCUCCAGCAGCCCCUGAUUUCU